Molecule: ribosomal RNA, 274 nt
Filed under: uncultured bacterium
Lineage: Bacteria
Description: partial 16S ribosomal RNA
Rfam family: Bacterial small subunit ribosomal RNA
Source: RNAcentral
AUACGGAGGGGGCGAGCGUUAUUCGGAAUCAUUGGGCGUAAAGGGCGCGUAGGCGGCCUGACAAGUCAGGGGUGAAAUCCCUCGGCUCAACCGAGGAACUGCCUCUGAAACUGUCAGGCUUGAGGCCGGGAGAGGGUAGUGGAAUUCCCAGUGUAGCGGUGAAAUGCGUAGAUAGUGGGAGGAACACCAGUGGCGAAGGCGGCUACCUGGACCGGUUCUGACGCUGAGGCGCGAAAGUGUGGGGAGCAAACAGGAUUAGAUACCCCAGUAGUCC